GAGCGUUCUAUGUGUGAAGAAGGUGUACCGUGAGGAGCGCUGGAACGCAUAGAAGUGAGAAUGCCGGUAUGAGUAGCGAAAGACAGGUGAGAAUCCUGUCCACCGUAAGACUAAGGUUUCCAGGGGAAGGCUCGUCCGCCCUGGGUUAGUCGGGACCUAAGGAGAGACCGAAAGGUGUAUCCGAUGGCCAACAGGUUGAUAUUCCUGUACUAGAGUAUAAAGUGAUGGAGGGACGCAGUAGGCUAACUAAAGCAGGCGAUUGGAAGAGCCUGUCUAAUCAGUGAGGUGUAAGAUGAGUCAAAUGCUUAUCUUUAUAACAUUGAGCUGUGAUGGGGAGCGAAGUUAAGUAGCGAAGUUAGUGAUGUCACACUGCCAAGAAAAGCUUCUAGCGUUUAAUUAUACUCUACCCGUACCGCAAACCGACACAGGUAGUCGAGGCGAGUAGCCUCAGGUGAUCGAGAGAACUCUCGUUAAGGAACUCGGCAAAAUGACCCCGUAACUUCGGGAGAAGGGGUGCUGACUUACGUCAGCCGCAGUGAAUAGGCCCAAGCAACUGUUUAUCAAAAACACAGCUCUCUGCUAAAUCGUAAGAUGAUGUAUAGGGGGUGACGCCUGCCCGGUGCUGGAAGGUUAAGAGGAGGGUUUAGCGUAAGCGAAGAUCUGAAUU
This 667-nucleotide ribosomal RNA is filed under the name Streptococcus dysgalactiae subsp. equisimilis. RNAcentral's name for it is "bacterial LSU rRNA". It matches the Rfam family "Bacterial large subunit ribosomal RNA", at positions 1234 to 1913 of the family's 2925-position model. The record is from RNAcentral. Lineage: Bacteria; Bacillati; Bacillota; Bacilli; Lactobacillales; Streptococcaceae.